UGGGGAAUAUUGCGCAAUGGGCGAAAGCCUGACGCAGCAACGCCGCGUGAGGGAUGAAGGCCUUCGGGUUGUAAACCUCUUUUAGCAGGGAAGAAGCGAAAGUGACGGUACCUGCAGAAAAAGCACCGGCUAACUACGUGCCAGCAGCCGCGGUAAUACGUAGGGUGCAAGCGUUAUCCGGAAUUAUUGGGCGUAAAGAGCUCGUAGGCGGUUUGUCGCGUCUGCUGUGAAAAUUCGAGGCUCAACCUCGGACUUGCAGUGGGUACGGGCAGACUAGAGUGCAGUAGGGGAGAAGGGAAUUCCUGGUGUAGCGGUGGAAUGCGCAGAUAUCAGGAGGAACACCAAUGGCGAAGGCACUUCUCUGGGCUGUAACUGACGCUGAGGAGCGAAAGCGUGGGGAGCGAACAGG
RNAcentral lists this ribosomal RNA (409 nucleotides) under uncultured Microbacteriaceae bacterium. RNAcentral's name for it is "bacterial SSU rRNA". It matches the Rfam family "Bacterial small subunit ribosomal RNA", at positions 355 to 776 of the family's 1533-position model. The record is from RNAcentral. Lineage: Bacteria; Bacillati; Actinomycetota; Actinomycetes; Micrococcales; Microbacteriaceae.